RNAcentral lists this ribosomal RNA (433 nucleotides) under uncultured bacterium. RNAcentral describes it as "partial 16S ribosomal RNA". It matches the Rfam family "Bacterial small subunit ribosomal RNA", at positions 29 to 507 of the family's 1533-position model. The record is from RNAcentral.
AACGAACGCUGGCGGCAUGCCUAACACAUGCAAGUCGAACGCGACCUUCGGGUACAGUGGCGCACGGGUUCGUAACGCGUGGGAACCUGCCCUUAGGUUCGGAAUAACUUCCCGCAAGGGGCGCCAAUACCGGAUAAUGUCUUAGGCCCCAUGAUUUAUCGCCUUAGGAUGGGUCCGCGUUGGAUUAGCUAGUUGGUAGGAUAAAAGCCUACCCAGGUGAUAAUCCAUAGCUGGUCUGAGAAGAUGAUCAGACACACUGGGACUGGGACACGUCGCAGACUCCUACGGGUGGCAGCAGUGGGGAAUAAGGAACGAUGGGCGAGAGACUAAUCCAGCAAGACCGCAUGAGUGUGGAAGGACAUAGGAUUGUUGAGCUCUUUUGCCCGGGAAGAAAAUGACGGUACCGAGAGAGUAAGCUCCGGCUAACUCCGUG